CUGUGCUCCGCAAUGGGAGAGGUCACAACAGUGAGACGCCCGCGUACCGCAAAAAAAAAAAAGAAAGAUAGGGCCACUGGUGGAGGCAAUAAUAGGAUGUGUUAAGAAAAGCAGUUUAAGUUCUGCUUAUGCAUCCUCACUCCUAACUCCACCUUUGCCUUUGGACAGGGGUGGCAAACUGCCCUCGCACCAAAUCCACCCUGCUACCUGUUCUUAAGUUAUGUUAGACCUCAGCCAUACUUUCUCACUGCAAAGAUGGAGUUGAGUAGUGGAAACAGGCCUUAGGGUAAACCACAGCUCUCCCCUGUACUAUAGAAAUGGAGGCCACAGCCCAGACUACAGGCUCAGGUAUCCACAGCGGUAAUGUCAGGGCAGUAUAAAAUCCCUGAGAGGGAAUUUCCUGGUGGCUUAGUGAUUAGGAUUCCAUGCUUUCACUGCCGUUGCCCCAAAUUCAAUCCCUGGUUGGGGAACUGAGAUCCUGCAAGCCGCGCAGCGCAGAAAAAAUAUAAAAAAUCCCUGAGAAGUGAGGAGCUGAUGAAACUAGGUGGGGAAUAACCUGCCUGCCUUAGGCCUUUCACUCACUCUUUACCCUUUCAAAGCAUCAGUUAGUGGACUGUGAUCUAGGGAGACUGCCUCCUGCAAGAGCUGCUUCUUCCUAAACUGGGUUUAAAGGUAAGGCCUUGAAAUAAAGUUUGGUGAGAUGAUACUGAAUGGGAACAAUACAUGUGGUCUUGUGGUACCUAGAACUCUGUCCCAAGGUUUGUCCUUUCCCCAUCUUAAAACUUGACAUUCUGGUCUUUGACCCUUGCCCAGUAAACCAUCCCAGAGUUAUAACCCAUACCCCAGGAGAAUUUGGACUCAAGUCAGAGCAGUUGGAUACCUGAAAACUUCCUCAAAAGAAAAAGUGAAUACCAUUUGAAGCAGAACUACUUGAAAAGACAACCAAUAAUUUAAAGAUGGCAUGAUAAAUAUUGAAGAGGUAAAAUACUACCAGUAUGGAACAAGAAUCAUAAAAUGAAUAUAUUAAGUGAAAAAUAUAAUAGUUGAAAUAAAAAACACAGGUAAGUAGUAGACUGGAUUCUAUUCAUUGAAUUAGUGAGAACAUUCAAUUGAACUCUUUCAUUAGAAAGCAAAGAAACAGAAAAAUAAAGAUUAGGAGGAGAAUAGUAUAUAUAGCAACAUUCAGAAAUUCCAGGGAGAUGAAAAUCAGGAAAAUUAAAGUACUGAAAACAAAGAAUUUUGAAGAUAGUAUUUGUGACAGGCAUAUGUGUAUCUUCUGAAUGCAGUUUCUGAAAUGGUAUCUGCCUCCUGGUACUCAUACAUUUGCAUUAUCCUUUUCCCUUGAAUAUAGGCUGCACCUGGUGACUUUCAUCUAAGAAAUAGGACACAGCAAAAGUUACAUCACUUUGAAGAUGUGGUGGCAGCAAUUGGACUGAGGAAGGGCGCUUCUGAUGGCUUUAGGGACAUAAAGAAACACAGGCAUACCCACGAACCCUUUUGAGGUCUCCUUCUCGCCAUUUCUGAAGAUUGUGGUGAACAGCUGGAAGAUAAAAAAUUCAUGCUGCAACCAUCAGUGGAGAGAUUUUGAAGCAAACUGCACCUGGAGCAUCGAUUUGCUUCUUUCUUGCCCUGUUUGGUGGGGUGAGUGGAAAUAACCAUGGUAUCAUCAGGACCAUGAUAAAUGUAGCCCUAAGACCAUAGAUGCUCAGAGAAAAGAGCCCUUAACCCAGCUGUGGGAGGUUCUCUAUAAACUGGUCCAUCCACUACCACUCCUCACCAUGCAACUUGCUGUGACAUGAGACUGUUUCCUGAACUUCACAGUGCUCUCAAGACCAAAAUGUUUUUAGGCCUCUGUUCAUGCCAUUUCUUCCAUCUGUUCUUUCUCCUUUCUCUGUUUGACAAACUCCUACUCAUCCUUCAAGGCUCACCCUAAAUUUUCACUUCCUGUCCCAAAGCUUUCCUCAGCCCCCUUGGCACAGUUGGAUACCUCUUCCUCAGAGCUCCCACUGCACCAUGUUCCUAUCGAAGUUCACUAAAUUAUUGCUUUUUGUUUAUGUAUCCCUCUAAGUUGGUGUCUGGGAAUGUGGCUGAGGUGGAUACCUGAUAUUUUUGCCACCCAGCUCUCACCUAGUCAUCCUACUUCUGGGAACAGUGCCCUUAAUUUCUUUUGGGACACUACCCCACCCCUGCUCUAAGCUCUGUUAUUUUAGACCAUCUUUUCCAGAUCACAGUAGAUUCAGAGAUGGCCACAAGACCCAAUUCAGGCUAAUGUGCAACAGUUUGAAUAAAAGUUCAUGCCAGGACUUUUAUUCAUACUGUUGGAGGAAGAGAGGCUCUCUUGGCUAGACUUGAACCAAGGAGGGCAUUAGUCUAGAGCUGCUGAAUAUCACUGCAACCUCUGAGCCAGCCCAGUGGCUGUAAAGAUGGAAACAAAGCAAAGUCUAAGUGAUAAUAUUUGAGUCCCUGGACCAAGCAGUUUCUGGACUUCUCAGGUAUGUGGCCCAAUAUUUUCCCUUCUUGGGAUUAAAUCAGUUUGAGCAUGGGGGUUCCUGUUACUUGCAGCCUCAAAAGGCCUGAAGUAAGAUGGUUGUUUCCUUCCCUGGCCACCUUUGUCUCUAUGAGUCUAACUCAUUGAUUCAACUCUAGAAGGAUGGGAACCUACUGGAAAAGACCUCACCCAACACCACAGGGCUCUCAGAAAGCAGGCAGGGCAUAACCUGGAUCAUCCAUCAGCUCAGAUGACAGAGAUUCUGAUGCAGCCUCUCCUCUCAAGCCCUCAGGAACAGCCAACUUCAACCUGCCAGCUUAUGGGUGGGGAAAGCAAGAUACAGAAAUGUUAAGUGACUUGCCCUAAAUUGCUCAGCUAACAUACUGCCACCAAUUCUACCUGACCUCAGAAUCCACACUUUUGUCACUAUACCAGAGAAGGCGCUAGUAGGUGCUGAGUCAUAGAGGUGUUCCAGGGAAAUAGGGCCCCCCUGGGGGAACAAACAAAGCCAGAGUCAGGGCUAGAGCCAA
Molecule: long non-coding RNA, 3018 nt
Organism: Aethalodelphis obliquidens (Pacific white-sided dolphin)
Lineage: Eukaryota; Metazoa; Chordata; Mammalia; Artiodactyla; Delphinidae
Exons: 3
Source: RefSeq, a predicted model, not a curated record